AAACGAUGUUAGCUUGCUAACAGGCGUCGAGUGGCGGACGGGUGAGUAACGCGUAGGAAUCUACCAAAUAGCGGGGGGAUAGCCCGGAGAAAUCCGGAUUAAUACCGCAUAAUCUCUACGGAGUAAAGGGGGGCCUCUAUUUAUAAGCUUUCACUAUUUGAUGAGCCUGCGUAAGAUUAGCUUGUUGGUGAGGUAAAAAGCUCACCAAGGCGACGAUCUUUUAGCUGGUCUGAGAGGAUGAUCAGCCACACUGGGACUGGGACACGGCCCAGACUCC
RNAcentral lists this ribosomal RNA (277 nucleotides) under unidentified marine bacterioplankton. RNAcentral describes it as "partial 16S ribosomal RNA". It matches the Rfam family "Bacterial small subunit ribosomal RNA", at positions 64 to 339 of the family's 1533-position model. The record is from RNAcentral. RNAcentral also lists the same sequence under 1 other name.